AGAUACAAGAGGUGAAGAAGAUCCAGCUGAAACAAGCUUACAAUGUAUAUGAUUAGAUCUGUUAGUUUUAUUGGUUGCUAUCACAAGCCCUGUUACAUUUUUGGUUAUGUUUUUCCCUCCCCUUUUCCUACAUAAAAUGAUGUCAACUCCAAGAAAACAUACAUUGCUCUUCCUUUCACUAAAUCUUGUCUGGUAUUUGUGGUAAUAUACAAAAAAAAAAGCUAUUC
Pelobates cultripes (western spadefoot toad) is the source of this 227-nucleotide non-coding RNA. The record is from the annotation of a GenBank genome assembly. NCBI's taxonomy places the organism in Eukaryota, Metazoa, Chordata, Amphibia, Anura, Pelobatidae.